Canis lupus familiaris (dog) is the source of this 2442-nucleotide long non-coding RNA. RefSeq lists it as uncharacterized. Lineage: Eukaryota; Metazoa; Chordata; Mammalia; Carnivora; Canidae. The record is from RefSeq and is a predicted model, not a curated record. The transcript has 6 exons.
AGGGUCAGUGAUGUCCUGCAGCAGCCAGAGACCGGCCUGCAAAGCUCCAGCACCAACUGAACUUCCUGGGCCCAAGGACCCUGCUCCUCCUGGUGUGUGUAUGGCGUGGGGGGGAGAACAGUCUGGCCCCUACAGAAGCCAAAUGAAUUCUAGACAAUGACUAUAGACUACUACAAGUGCAACCAAUGGGAGCCCUGAUUGUAUCUGCUAUACCAGAUGUAGUACCAUUGCUGGAGCAGUGCUUUGCAAACGGAGUUUCAAGUCCCACCUUCCAUCCAACCACACGGAUGACGUUAGUCCCUUGUAAAUAAAUAUGCUAGAGCUUUGGCCACGACCUGCAGGACAAGAAAGAUUUUCUGCCCAGAUAGAAGUCAGAAGUGAUGCAGAAAAUGGCACAACCAUCUGCAGUCUUGGAAUCCUCCCCAGGGACUGCCAGCCCUGGGACUGACGGCCCAGGACGGUUAUCUCACAAGAACAGCUGUGGGAUGUGACCAGCCCCCUUGGGGGAGAGACAGCACCCACUCCUGGAAGGCCCAGCCUACACAGGAAAUUGUUAUCUUACCUCCCUUGGGGAACAAAAAGGAAGCUUUGUUUGAUGCAGACAUCAAAAAUGAGUGGCCUUAGGGCCACAUCUGUGUAUAUUCUCUGGUCCUCCAUGCUGCCGCUACUGGUUUGUAAUCGAACGAACAUUCAAAUAUCAGAUGAGUUCAGGUAACAGCCCAGACUUCUGGGCUCUCUGGUCAAAAAGGAUCCAGGCUCCAAUUCACCUUCAUCCCUGUAGCAGCCAGAAUCCAGAUGGGUGGUCAGCGGUCACCACCUCCGCAAGGGACAAGCCUGCUUCUGUCUACAUUAUGCCACAUCCUCCAGAUUUUCUCCUCAACCAGAAGCCAGGGGUUUUGUUCUUCUAACACGAGUAGAAGAAAUAUUUACCUAUAGCCAUAGUCCCACCAAGAACAGGAAAAUGAAUGCUACAUGGGGAGAGCCAGAACUUCCAGACAAGUGGGAAAGACUAUACAGUAUUUUUCCUCUGACGCCAGCCAGUCUCGGCCAUUUAAUUUAUAUGUCCUGGUUUAAAUGGGUUUUUUUUUUAAUUGAAGUUUAGUUGGCAUACAAUAUUAUAUUAGUUUCAGGUGUACCACAUCGUGAUUCCACAAUUCUGUACAUCGCUCAAAGCUCACCAUGUAAAUACUUCACUUUCCUGGAGGAAUACUGAUCAUAGAGGUUGAGAAGCUCUUUAUUUCCUCUCUGUUGAUCCAGGUAUCCUAAAAUCUGAUUGUCACCUUCAAAGGCCCUUCACCAUUUAUCCCAGGAAUAGAGUCCCCCAUGCAAAUGGGGGUCUUGAUGGACUGCCAGCAUUUCUGAGGAACACUGCACAGGGGAAGCUGGGGACCACAGGAGUGUAGCUACAAGAGGGACUACAGUACAGCGGUCAAGGAGGCAAGGUCAAGGAGUGAAAGGCAACCACUGAAAACUCACCCAUCACCCUCAUAAAGAACCCUAAGUUCAAUGAGCUACAUUUCCAGAAGGCUUGAAACCCAGAAAUAGCCAGAACUAUAAAGAACAAAAAGUGGAAAAGAACUGACAGCCUGGAAACGUGAGACCUGGUCGUCGUCGUCGUCAUCGUCGUCAUCAUCAUCAUCAUCAUCAUCGAGAAUUUGCCAAGUGCACUGUACAAAGAACCACCAGAAAAGAAAGAUGAUUAUUAAGGGACACAGUCCCAGGUCUUUAAGUCAUGUCUUUUUUUUUUUUUAAGUCAUACAUUUUUUUUCAACUGUGGAAUUAUUCUUCUUCUGGGCCCUCUGGAAAUGCAGUGGGAAAACCACUGAUAUGAAAAGGUAAACAUGUUGGAAGAAGACACUUGUAAAUUCCUUCUUAUUUCCAGGCAUCAUAAUGUAACUCACAAGAAACAAAUGAAGCAGGAGUCUUGGGCUUGGUUCUAGCUUUCCCCCAUCAUAGGCUGACAGUCGGCUUCUCAGGGUCUUGGUUUCUCACUAUAAAAGGAAUUGUUUGGCCUCUGUUAUCUGCUAAAGUCCUUCCAGCUUUAACAUUUUAUGAUUCUAGGAUCUUUGAAAAUUUCAUUAUUGGAAGGCCAAGGUUGAUUUUUGCUAUGAAUCAAAAAACAAAAACAAAAACAAAAACAAAAACCAGCCAAAAAACAACCAGAUAUUCCAAUAUAAAUGACCAGAUGCCCAGGGGACAACAGACACUUGAGGAAAGAAAGCAAGGGAGCAGGGAAGGCCUGGUAUGUCAAGUACAGUACAGAAAUACAGUGAGCCGAAGAAGACUUCAUGGCAUACCUACCUGAAAAGGGACAUUAAUACCAGUAAUGAGGGAUGCCUCGGUGGCUCAGCGGUUGAGUGUCUGCCUUUCGCUCAGGUCAUGAUCCCCGGGGUCCAGGAUGGAGUCCCACAUUGGGCUCCCUGCGGGGAGCCUGCUUCUCCC